Molecule: ribosomal RNA, 493 nt
Filed under: uncultured bacterium
Lineage: Bacteria
Description: partial 16S ribosomal RNA
Rfam family: Bacterial small subunit ribosomal RNA
Source: RNAcentral
GAUGAACGCUAGCUACAGGGCUUAACACAUGCAAGUCGAGGGGAAACGACAGUAAAGCUUGCUUUAUUGGGCGUCGACCGGCGCACGGGUGCGUAACGCGUAUCCAACCUGCCCCCCAACUCCGGAAUAGUCCCCCCGAAAGGGGGGGUUAACGCCGGAUGCUGCAAUUUUUCCGCAUGGUGAAAUUGCGAAAUGAAAAAGGUUGGGGCUGGGGAUGCGUCCCAUUAGGUAGUAGGCGGGGUAACGGCCCACCUAGCCGACGAUGGGUAGGGGUUCUGAGAGGAAGGUCCCCCACAUUGGAACUGAGACACGGUCCAAACUCCUACGGGAGGCAGCAGUGAGGAAUAUUGGUCAAUGGACGUAAGUCUGAACCAGCCAAGUAGCGUGCAGGAUGACGGCCCUAUGGGUUGUAAACUGCUUUUAUGCGGGGAUAAAGUGAGGGACGCGUCCCUUUUUGCAGGUACCGCAUGAAUAAGGACCGGCUAAUUCCGUG